GGAAAAUUCAAUAAGGUUAAACAAAGGAAUUUAGCAUCAGGGUUAAAAUAGUAAAUUUAUGCAAUAGGUUUAGGUUAAAAUUAGGGCUAAAAUAUGCUUCUGUGUUAACUUUAAUAUAUAAGAAGAUGUAUCGAGAAAUUGAGAAGGGGAGAAAUUCAAUAAGAUUAAACAAAGGAAUUUAGCAUCAGGGUUGAAAUAGUAAAUUUAUGCAAUAGGUUUAGGUUAAAAUUAGGGCUAAAAUAUGCUUCUGUGUUAACUUUAAUAUAUAAGAAGAUGUAUCGAGAAAUUGAGAAGGGGGAAAAUUCAAUAAGGUUAAACAAAGGAAUUUAGCAUCAGGGUUAAAAUAGUAAAUUUAUGCAAUAGGUUUAGGUUAAAAUUAGGGCUAAAAUAUGCUUCUGUGUUAACUUUAAUAUAUCAGAAGAUGUAUCGAGAAAUUGAGAAGGGGAGAAAUUCAAUAAGGUUAAACAAAGGAAUUUAGCAUCAGGGUUAAAAUUGUAAAUUUAUGCAAUAGGUUUAGGUUAAAAUUAGGGCUAAAAUAUGCUUAUGUGUUAACUUUAAUAUAUAAGAAGAGAAAAUGUAUCGAGAAAUUGAGAAGAGGGAAAAUUCAAUAAGGUUAAACAAAGGAAUUUAACGGGUUAACUUUAAUAUAUAAGAAGAUUAGGUGUGAGCAUUAGGGUUAAAAUAGUAAAAUUAUGCAAUAGGGUUUAGGUUAAAAUUAGGGCUUACGAGUUAACUUUAAUAUAUAAGAAGAUAAGAAGAUUAGGAGUGAGCAUUAGGGUUGUUCAUGAAAAUAGGAGAUUAGGUGUAAGCAUUAGGGUUAAAACAGUAAAAUUAUCCAAUAGGAUUUAGGUUAAAAUUAGGGCUUACAGGUUAACUUUAAUAUAUAAGAAGAUAGGUGUGAGCAUUAGGGUUAAAACAGUAAAAUUAUCCAAUAGGGUUUAGGUUAAAAUUAGGGCUUACGAGUUAACUUUAAUAUAUAAGAAGAUUAGGUGUGAGCAUUAGGGUUGUUCAUGAAAAUAGGAGAUUAGGUGUGAGCAUUAGGGUUAAAAUAGUAAAAUUAUGCAAUAGGGUUUAGGUUAAGAUUAGGGCUUACGGGUUAACUUUAAUAUAUAAGAAGAUUAGGUGUGAGCAUUAGGGUUGU
RNAcentral lists this long non-coding RNA (1141 nucleotides) under Medicago truncatula (barrel medic). Its description in RNAcentral is "long non-coding RNA (MTRU_LNC000947)". The record is from RNAcentral. Lineage: Eukaryota; Viridiplantae; Streptophyta; Magnoliopsida; Fabales; Fabaceae.